RNAcentral lists this ribosomal RNA (236 nucleotides) under uncultured bacterium. RNAcentral describes it as "partial 16S ribosomal RNA". It matches the Rfam family "Bacterial small subunit ribosomal RNA", at positions 112 to 334 of the family's 1533-position model. The record is from RNAcentral.
AACGCGUAGGUAAUCUAUCCUUACAUUUGGGAUAACAUCGGGAAACUGGUGCUAAUACCGAAUGGUCUUCAUUGCUUUGGGGCGAUGGAGUAAAGGUGGCCUCUUCAUGGAAGCUACCGUGUAGGGAUGAGCCUGCGUACCAUUAGCUAGUAGGUGGGGUAAUGGCCCACCUAGGCUACGAUGGUUAGCGGGUCUGAGAGGAUGAUCCGCCACACUGGAACUGAAACACGGACCAG